AUUGAACGCUGGCGGAAUGCUUUACACAUGCAAGUCGAACGGCAGCACGGACUUCGGUCUGGUGGCGAGUGGCGAACGGGUGAGUAAUACAUCGGAACGUACCUUAUCGUGGGGGAUAACGCAGCGAAAGCUGUGCUAAUACCGCAUACGCCCUGAGGGGGAAAGCGGGGGAUCGAAAGACCUCGCGCGAUUAGAGCGGCCGAUGCCUGAUUAGCUUGUUGGUGGGGUAAAAGCCCACCAAGGCGACGAUCAGUAGCUGGUCUGAGAGGACGAUCAGCCACACUGGGACUGAGACACGGCCCAGACUCCUACGGGAGGCAGCAGUGGGGAAUUUUGGACAAUGGGGGCAACCCUGAUCCAGCAAUGCCGCGUGAGUGAAGAAGGCCUUCGGGUUGUAAAGCUCUUUUGUCAGGGAAGAAACACCGGCUCUAACACAGUCCGGGAAUGACGGUACCUGAAGAAUAAGCACCGGCUAACUACGUGCCAGCCGCCGCCGUAA
RNAcentral lists this ribosomal RNA (499 nucleotides) under uncultured bacterium. Its description in RNAcentral is "partial 16S ribosomal RNA". It matches the Rfam family "Bacterial small subunit ribosomal RNA", at positions 30 to 523 of the family's 1533-position model. The record is from RNAcentral.